AGUCUCAUUCUAUUGAAAAUGGGCACUGUUUUUCAUGGGGCCCAUAAGUUGUUAAUGUGGCUACAUUGAGAACACAGGUUUUGCUUCCAUCACUGUAAUAUUAUUGCAGUGGUGACAAUGAGACCUGUAACAUUU
Molecule: small nucleolar RNA, 135 nt
Organism: Balaenoptera musculus (blue whale)
Lineage: Eukaryota; Metazoa; Chordata; Mammalia; Artiodactyla; Balaenopteridae
Source: Ensembl